Molecule: ribosomal RNA, 640 nt
Filed under: uncultured Bacteroidota bacterium
Lineage: Bacteria; Pseudomonadati; Bacteroidota
Description: bacterial SSU rRNA
Rfam family: Bacterial small subunit ribosomal RNA
Source: RNAcentral
AGCAAUACAUGGGUGGCGAGUGGCGCACGGGUGCGUAACACGUAUGCAAUUUGCCCAUAACUGGGGGAUAGCCCUCCGAAAGGAGGAUUAAUACCCCAUAACCCAGCGAGGUGGCAUCACCUUUCUGGUAAAUCUCCGGAGGUUAUGGAUGAGCAUGCGUCUGAUUAGCUAGUUGGUGAGGUAACGGCUCACCAAGGCAACGAUCAGUAGGGGGUCUGAGAGGAUGAUCCCCCACACGGGUACUGAGACACGGACCCGACUCCUACGGGAGGCAGCAGUAAGGAAUAUUGGACAAUGGAGGCAACUCUGAUCCAGCCAUGCCGCGUGAAGGAUGAAGGCCCUACGGGUUGUAAACUUCUUUUCUCUUAGAAAAAACUACUGGUUUCGUACCGGUACUGAUUGUACAAGAGGAAUAAGCAUCGGCUAACUUCGUGCCAGCAGCCGCGGUAAUACGAAGGAUGCAAGCGUUAUCCGGAUUCACUGGGUUUAAAGGGUGUGCAGGUGGGGUAAUAAGUCGGUGGUGAAAGCCCCCGACUCAAUCGGGGAACUGCCAUAGAUACUGUUAUUCUUGAGUGUGGUUGAGGCGGAUGGAGUAUGACAUGUAGCGGUGAAAUGCUUAGAUAUGUCAUAGAACACCGAU